CUACGUGCCAGCAGCCGCGGUAAUACGUAUGUCACGAGCGUUAUCCGGAUUUAUUGGGCGUAAAGCGCGUCUAGGUGGUUAUAUAAGUCUGAUGUGAAAAUGCAGGGCUCAACUCUGUAUUGCGUUGGAAACUGUAUAACUAGAGUACUGGAGAGGUAAGCGGAACUACAAGUGUAGAGGUGAAAUUCGUAGAUAUUUGUAGGAAUGCCGAUGGGGAAGCCAGCUUACUGGACAGAUACUGACGCUGAAGCGCGAAAGCGUGGGUAGCAAACAGGAUUAGAUACCCUGGUAGUCCACGCUGUAAACGAUGAUUACUAGGUGUUGGGGGUCGAACCUCAGCGCCCAAGCAAACGCGAUAAGUAAUCCGCCUGGGGAGUACGUACGCAAGUAUGAAACUCAAAGGAGUUGACGGGGACCCGCACAAGCGGUGGAGCAUGUGGUUUAAUUCGACGCAACGCGAGGAACCUUACCAGCGUUUGACAUC
Molecule: ribosomal RNA, 484 nt
Filed under: uncultured bacterium
Lineage: Bacteria
Description: bacterial SSU rRNA
Rfam family: Bacterial small subunit ribosomal RNA
Source: RNAcentral